This is a long non-coding RNA of Pan troglodytes (chimpanzee), 2047 nucleotides long. RefSeq lists it as uncharacterized. Lineage: Eukaryota; Metazoa; Chordata; Mammalia; Primates; Hominidae. The transcript has 3 exons. The record is from RefSeq and is a predicted model, not a curated record.
AGGGCGGCGCAACCGGGGCCCCCUUGGAUGUCACAUUCGUAGGAAGAGAGAAGUCUUGGACCAUGUGCGUAAUUCGAGCGUGGGACUGUGCAAUUCUCGGAUUGGGAAAGGGAGGAGUGGAAAUAACCCCGGCAGUGCCAGGCUUGCUGGUGGUCAGGAACAGAUGAUUCCAGCCCUGUGCUGAUCGCCUGCCUUCCUCCUGCCGUUCAGAAUGCUGCUGUCUCGUGUACUUACUGUUAAGCAUCCUGGAAAAGGGAGUGGUUCCUCCUAGCUGCAAACAAGGGCGCUACUUUUCUUUUCUCUUUAAUAGAAUUACGUUUUAUAGGUGUGUCUAGGCAACACAAGGGAAUGUGAAAGACUUUCAGAGGGAAUGUUUGUGAAUACAUCUGGUGUGUACUAAAAAGCUGGAAAACCCCUAAGUAAAUGCAAUAUCGAUAGAAAGCGAGUUUCUUGAAGAGUCAUCUGCUAAACUCCACUACAGUCAUCUCUACAGGUGUGGUUAAGAGAAAAAAAAAUUGCCAUUAAGGAAUCAGCAAAUAGGAUGUCUGAAGUGAGGAUAUAGCACCUAUCUCUGAGAUUAAAGUCAUCUGAUCAAAAAUGAUGCCUCUGAGACUAUAACAAAGGAAUGAAUAAUGAAAUAUAAGAAUGGGGAUUCUGCACUAACUCUAUGGGGAAGAAAACAAUGUCUCUGUUCAUCAUGAGAAAUGCUCAGCGACUGCAGACAUAAAGAGAAAGCUUUCAAUUAAAGUUUCAAUGAUGGGAUAGGAACUGAGAAGUCUGUGGAGUUUUCUGCCUAGGAGUACCCUUGGAAAAGCCACUGCUAUGCCCAACCAGCACUGGGAAUCCCAGAUCACAUGCAAUCAUAGGAGUUGCCCUGGAGGCAGAAGCUCAGCACAUGUUCUGGUACAAGGAGAUUACAGUGUUGUGCAAAGCAAAGGGAUGAAUGAUGCCCAACUCUCUAACAUGGGCCUCGGUUUCCACAUCGAGGUUGGAAAUGAGCUAGGAAGCAGAUCCACCAUAAAUGGAGAAAGAAGAGAAACAAGGUGAGCUUUUAAUGACACCGUAGCCUGACUCUUUGGUAUGGAAAUGGAAAGAGAUCCUCAUGGAAACAUAAAUAAAAUAUAUCACAUAUAACUUACACCAAUAAUUAUUUUCUCCCCCAGUACCUCAAUUUUGCCCAGAUUGGACUCUAUUUUAUUUCCUUAUUUUUCCACAGUAAUUUACUUAAGUAAAACCAGGAUUUAUUUUAUUCAUCUCCAUGUCAGUUGCUAAGUCCAAGGGAUGUAUAUAGUUUAAAAAAUAUCACAAAGGAUGAUAUGGUGAAAUUGAACAACACAUUAUUACCUGAUGUACAGUCAUUGAUUUUGUAUACUAGCCUUUACCCCUGGCUACUGAUAAUUUUGGAUUUUGAAGAUUCAAAGACAGAGACUUGUAAAUACUUUAGUUUUUACACUUCUUUAUCGUACUCAUACCUGGGAUGGAAAAGUAUCAUUUAAUAUAUUAAGAACAUUGUUAUAGUACGUGUGUUUAAAUAACUCACAAGAGCAAGUAAUCUUACCUCAUGUCAUCUAUUUUUGAAAAAAUAUUUUAUGUAUUUCCACCUGCUUCUUCCAGAUGACCUUUAGCAAAACUUUGUGAAGUUUCAUUGUGGCUGUUGUCUUAGAAAGAUGGUCUUGUUAAUAAGAAGGUCAGUGUUUUAGCCUUGCAAUAUAAGAUGAUGUGCAUUUGUUUAGAGGGAGACUUUAGGAUACAGCAAAGUGUUUUACAAAUGUUUACCAUUUUUAUUCUUAUUAGAUUUUUGAAAGUAUUUGGUUUAAAAUUUUCUUCUUUUUAUUCAACCAGCUCUUUAAAUUACCCAUCAAUUCUUGUUAAGAGUGUGUAUAGUAUAUCUCUCUAUACAUUUCAUGUAUUUUUGUAUGAAUUGUGCUAUUUUUAUAAUUUUUCUAUUUAGCCUCUGUAUCCAAUAUGAUUCAAUGUAUACAUGGAUGCCAUACGUAGGUACUGAUUAUUUCCUCUUUUAUUAUUAAUAAAUUCUAAUUUAUUUCAA